Molecule: long non-coding RNA, 18042 nt
Filed under: Capsicum annuum
Lineage: Eukaryota; Viridiplantae; Streptophyta; Magnoliopsida; Solanales; Solanaceae
Description: long non-coding RNA (CANN_LNC014482)
Source: RNAcentral
GAUCAUACUUUUAAACUUGAAAUUGGUUUCUUGGACUCCAUGGGUGAAAAGGGUCCAUGGAUGAACAUCUAACAUACCUUAGAGCUUUAAAUCUUAAAAGUGAAUUGACUUUUCUUGAACGUUCUUGGAUUGAGAAUCUUAAAUUCUUAAUUUUCUUUAAAGAGGCUUGAAUCUUUUUCUUGGGGAAUGAUCUUGAAAGAAAACCCUAAUCUUGAUAUUGAAAAUAAAUAAGGAUUUUUUGGCAUCUAAAAUUGAUAAGUGAUGGCUAAUAACGCAUAAUGAUGCUUUAAGUCGUGGGAGGGAUAGGGUUUGAGGUGAGGAAAAUAUCAAAAUACCCCUCCAAAGUUAAAUUAGAAUUUCUGAAAUUUUUAGUUGAUGACUUGCGUUGAUAACUUAUCAACUAGUUGAUAACUUAUCAACUUAAGUCAUCAACUCAUUGUUGGAUUUGGGCCCUUGCUGGUCAUGGAUGACGACUUGAGUUGUUAAGUCGUCACUUAGAUGACAGCUUAUUGUAACGCCUCAAAAAUCUAUCUCGAGAUGUCACACAGUGCUUAGGACCAUAAGUGAUCCCAUGCUAACCCUUCUACUAGCAUAACUCAUAAGCAACUGAAUGAUAUGCAUAAAAUGACUGAUUUUACUGUGUGGAAACAUAAUAAUGAUGAAAUCUGGGAAAAAUAAAAUAUCAAUGCAACUUUUACAUUCUGAUAAAGUCUGAAAGAGGGACUAAAAUUACAUAACUGACUCUAACUGACAUAUGUGAAACCUCUACUAUACUGACUAUAGAUAACUGGGAUGCGACUCCAACUAUCAAUAAUCAAUACAUAUGAAUAAGAAAAUAAAGUACAUAAAAAACAUCUAAAUAAAGUCCCCAAAAUAGGAGGACUCGUCAUCUACUAGCUGGAAUCAGCAAACUGUCUGAAUAUAGUAUACGUGCUACAACUGAGUUGAUACCUACAUUAUGAGUUAAUAUAGUACAUAAACAUAUAUGUGGAUCAGUACUUUGAGGAUGUACUGAGUAUAUGGGGGUGAAUGCAUAAGUAAAAACAUCAUCUCAUCAUCAUAAUUUGAAAAACAAUGCAUGCUACAUGUAAAUGACUCACAUAAGCUGGAAUAUCUGAAAUGCUGAAAAUAAUAAUCAUGAAAAGCAAAUCAUGCUUUAUAAAUCUAGUGAGUCAUAACAUUUAGUUCUAAAAGUUGCCCUUGUAUUCUCCCUUUAAAUCAUACUGUCUAAGUGUAGAAAGGACUCUCUAAAUCUAAAAUUUGAAAUAUGAAAGCUGAAAACUGUAGUUAAUAUCUUUCUGUAAAGCAUAAUUCGAGUAAAAAUUGUGAGCCUUAACACUUAGUUUUUUUGAAAGCUUUUCUGUUACCCUUUCUAUUCUAGAAUCUGUAGUCUGAAAACUUUAAAAAUUUAGGGAAAAUACUUUAUUUGAAGGGAGAUACUUUAAAACUAUUCUGAAAAGCUUAUUAUAUGGAAAAACUGUCCUGCAAGAGAGGUUCUCUUAACUGAUAUAAACCAUGCGAGCAACGUGGAGUCAUACAUCUCAUCCUCCUAAGAAAGAAACCUUAUGUUGGGGAGAUCGUCAUACUCUUACCAGGGAGUAUAACCUACGCAUGUGAUCGAUCACAAGCUAAGUCUGUCAUCCAUAUAGAAAUGGAAAUCAUCUAAUAAUCUGUACCUACGUUGGCUACGUUGUUCUGUGAAAGUAGGAUACGCUAAACCCACACUUCUCGCUCGGUGCUAAAUACUACUCCCUUUUAUUUGCUAAGCUCAUUCUGUUGUAAAUCCACUUUUAAAUACUUCUUUUUGUAUAUAGUAGGCCAUGUAACUCAUUAUGUAAAAAGAGUAUUGGUCGUUGAAAGUUGACCUAAGCUGAAAUAUCUACUAAAACUUAACCAAUAGAAGCAUUCUUAACUCGUCUUUGAGUUAGGAGAUUUUUAUGACCCCGACUGAUAUAAAAGGAAUUUUUCACACUAUAUAAUUGAUCAUCACACAUAAAUAGACAUAGAAUCAUUGGGUUCAGGUUUGUAUAAUUAGGAACAAAGGUUUGAAUCCUAGCACGAAAACGAGAGGUGUUACAACUUAAUAUACAUCAAACUCACUCAUAAACUUGAAGUAUGGUUCUAAUACUGGUUUGGAGGCUUAUUAAGCUGAGAGUACUGAAGAAUCUGAGAUCAGAACAUGCAUGAAUAGGAACAUGUGAACCUAACUGAGUCUGAAACAUGAUACAUGAAAUGAAUAUCAUGAACUAAACUGAUUUUCUUGUAUACAGGAGAAUGGUUAUAAGGCUGAGAUUUGAACGAGAGAUUCAACUUAUGAGUACCCAUUACUUCAAGCUGGAUCUUAUUACGUAAAGAGAAGAUGAAAGUUUUAGGGCAUGAAAUCUCGGGAGACAAUAGUACAUCUCCACCUUAGGAUGUUAUGUCCCUCGAAAGAUACUGACUUGGCUAAAAUACUGAGGAAAAAUUGAGAUGAUGCACGGGGCACUUACGAACUGAAUCAUGACUGAAUAUCUGGAAUCUGAAACUGAUGCAUGAUCUGAACUGAAUUUAUGACUUGCAUGGUCGUGAAGGAAUUUCCUCAUUAAUAAGAGAGAUGAAAGCCAUAGGAACUUGUCUGCUUGACUGCUAUACUAAAUUGUUGGCUAUACAAACUAGCUCAUACUGAAAGCUUAUACUUAACUAGAGUAUUUCUUCGACACUUUCUAUGAAGUUCUAAUGGAUUUAGGGAGAAAAGAUUCUUAGGAAUGGUCUGAAUAAAACAUUUGAAUAAGAAAUCACAACAUGGAUAAAAUUAUGUAAAAUGGAACAUUGGCCUGCGAAACAUCAGCUAUAUAGAGUUACUAAGCCUUAUGCACCGCAACUACUAACUUUCAAGCUUAACCACACUUCUCAAAUACUCCCUCAACUAUACUUUCUACUUUAACACCGCGCUUCACUUGAGGCUACUGAAAAUAUCCACAUGGGCACUAAUAACUCUACCUACUGAAGUCUGACCUGGACUAAAUUCCCCCACUAUAUUUAAGCCUACUCGAAUCUACAAAAUGCACACAUAACACUGUAAUACUUGUCUGAGUCAUGAAUUCAAUACACUCUGUAUUUUCAUAACUUCCCAUCUCCUGAAUAAUUCUUAUUACCACUUCAACAACUACAUUCAACCUCUUACUAGCUGUUCACUUACGCGCAAUACAGCCAUCCACUUAUACCAACUUGACAUUCAAGCCUAUCAUCAUAACUACAUAUGAACUUCUAAAUAAACACCCAUAAAAAAAUCUUCCAAACCUCCAUCAUUAACAACUUCCAUGCACCACCCCAAGAAAGCACACAUAAAAUUUCAACUAACCAACACAUAUAUUAAAACUUAGCCUCAAUCUCACUUCAUACUUACAACCUUAGCUAAAACAAGCAUAAAACAAUCUUUCAUCAACAAGAAAUAUUUACUCUCUCCAAUAUAACCAAUUCUUCAUCACUACUAUCAUUUUCAUAAAGAGAGGUCGCUAAAAGGUUAACACAUGAGGACCUGAAGCAUGAAUGACCUCUAUACAUAACUUGACACUUAACUGAGGACUGAGGAAUAGAAUAUCACUAUCUUGGAUUCAUCAAGAGAUCUGAAUUGAGGAUAUACAUGACAUAAAUAUAAUUUUUUUGGUGAUAGUUAAGAGUAUAACAUGAGUCAUAGGAACUGAGCAUACUGUAAAUCAUAGCCACAUGAGUCAUGUGUUGUAUGACCUGAGUUUGGAGUUUCUGAAUUCAUAGAACAUGAUUCAUAUGCUGAGUGAACUGGAACUUCUUAUACCAGGAACUGAGAGGUUACAUGAUUCUCAGUUAUGUGUAUGAUCAUGAACUAUGAUCAUAGAGAUGACAUAUAAGGCAUGAGUAGAUAUCGUGAUGGCUGACAACUUUGCACUGGGAUAAGAAUGGAUUAGGCAUCUUUCUCCCCUAUUGAUAUUCUACAAUACGCUGGCACUAAUACUAGAAUCUGAAAGCCUGACUUGGUUACUUGUUCUAUCAUCUCCUCCUUAGCUUAAAGCCAUCAUUCUAAGUCUGGGAACCACUUAAUCAAUAUCUCUAAACUGAAUUGCCACCACUUUACUCUAGAAUCUGGGUUAUAAUAAUAUGCAUAAUUGGUAAACUCACCUUGAAUGACUAUGCCCGAUAAUAUAAAACUUAUUGCUUGUACUUUCUUUUGAGAUACAACUCUUAGCCCUCUAUAGCCCUAACAAUAAUGAUGUAACUACUUAAAAUUGACUAACUUGGAAUUUUUCAAAUCCUUUUUCUAUUAGCUCAACCUUCAAAGAUUCAAACUUAGAUUCUAACACAUAACAUGGAUAUCCCCAAAUCUUUAGUAACCAUGCUACUUUCAGCAUAGCCUACAAUAUCACAUCUCUAAACUUAUAUCUCUCCCUAAACCAUAAAAACUACUAUUACACAUGAAUACCUGACGUCAAUAUGCUAUAGCCCAUAACUUAGCUGGUAAGAACAUCAAUUACUUUAUUACUAGCCCCCUUCAAACUUAAAACUCGAGGAUGCUACUUAAGCAUAACCAUGCUGUCAUACUUAGCUUAAAUCCUUGCAUACACUAUUUCAAGCCUACUGAUUCACCUUUCAUACAACUAGCCCUAUAGAUACAUAAUCAGCUCAAAUCAGAUAACACUAUCUCAAUUCUACUACUGUUGCUAAGCUCCUAGUUUCAUGCUUUUAAUUCUAGAUCAUAUGCUAUCAUAGAAUUAUGGGAAGGAAUCUAAAAAUACGUUUGAAUCCUAAGCACUGAGGUACUACCAUUUCAUUCACUGGUUGUUUCAUCGAAAAACUAAAACUAAACUACUCUAUUUUUUAAAUCAAUUGAAGUGAUUUACUGGGACACUGUAACUGGGCAAUUUUUGUAUACCCAUCUGUCUAGGAUAGAUUUACCCACUAGAGUAGGCACUGAGAAGGGCUCUGCUAAGGUUUCGGGACUGAUACUGAACUCAACAACUAUAUAGGGGUUACAAAACAAAGAGAAGCUCCAGAGUUUAACAAAGCAUAAAUAUAUAAAUGAAAGGACUGUAACAUACCUAUAAACACAUCAGGAGAACUUUAUUGAUCCUGUCAGGACUGAAGUGCAUAUAGCCUGUCCUGACGCUGGCCACUGGUUGCGCUGGAAAUGGCACCCUACUAAGUCGGGUGACCGAAUGAAACUGAAGGACGGUUGGACCGACCCUGCAGACCACUCUUUGGACAAUCUCUAAAUCCGUGGCCUGGCUUGCCACACCCAAAACACAUAUCACUACCGGCCCUACACACACCCUUGUGAUUCUUACCACAUUCUCCGCAAAGUGAAUUAGUACGAAUACCCUUCCCACUACCUUGUGAAUUAAAUCCUGGUGCUCUAUCUUGACUAUCAUUCUUAAACUUAGGCACUGAUGCACUGGCUGAAGGUGUAGCUGGGGCUGAGAAUUUCUCACAGAAUUAGGAGCGGUUACUACCCCUUGACCUUGGCUUAAAACUACUUGUUCUGACCCUCUUAUUCUUUCUUUCUUUCUUCCUACGCUCUCUUCUCUCACUCAAUCGAGUAUGAAUCAAAAGCCUAGAUAGGACAAUGACCUAUAGAUUGUUCUGAGUAACUACUGAAUAAGCUAAGGCAGUAAAAGAAACUCUAAAUUCAGAGUGAGAGACAGGCUCAUUCAAGGGAUCUUCGUGAAUAGGCGGAGGUAUUGGCUGAUUCCUAUUUCUUCUUUCAUUGUUCUUUCUGGGAGGCAUUUUCUGUACAUGGAAUGAUGGAUGAGUUAGGAAGAGAGUGUAAAUAGAAUUUAUGCUCUAUCACACGACAUGAAUACUGAAAGAAAAGAAACUUUUCCUAAAACUUCUUGUAGCCUCUUAUCUAUAAGUGUGGCGCGCUUCACACCUAUGUACAAGACUCUACUCGAUGCAGCUUUCAGACUCCCUAUGACGCUUUAAAACCUUAAGGUCUGAUAUCAAGUUUGUAAUGCCCCUAGAGUACACCCUAGGUGCCACAUGAUGCUUACGGUCCCGAAAGACCACAAGCUAACCCAUGACUGGUACCUGCUAUGAGCAUUGAGUAUAACUGAUAUCAAAAGAUCAUAUACGAAAUUUAACUAAAAAAUGUCAUAAGGUUUUAAAACAUAAUUCUGAUAAUGUUAGUAAAAAAUACUGAUAAUUUUGAUAAAAUGACUAAAAACUGACUGCCUGUACUAGUUUGAAAAACCUCUACUGAUGGGACAAACCCCUAACUAACUCCGACUAAAUAAAAAAUACUGAACUGAUAAGGUAAACUAAGAUAAAUAAACCAUGUCUUCGAAGUAUGAGGACUCACCACUGCUACAACUGAUAAUCUAGUAUGUCUAUGCACGAUCAGGGAACUGAGCAUCAAAACCUAUGAUAUUAAAUAUCAUGACAUAAGAAGUGAGUAUAUGAUCAGUACUUUGAAUGUACUAGUAUGCUAAAUGAGGUUAGGCUAAUAUGCAUGGUUUCAUAUACAUGAGUAAUAACUGAAUGAAAAACAUGAGGUACUGAGUAAAAUGCACGAAAUUUGUAAAGACGAAGAAUGCAUGACCAAGCAUAAAACAUGUUCUGAAUAUAGUCUGUAAACUGAAAUAAUGAAUACUUAUAAAUGAAUAAUUGAUAUCUGUAUGCUAUGGUCAAGCAAAACUAAAACUGAAUUACUAAGAUAAAUACUAGACUAAGACUGUGGGAGCUAGCUAUAACCAACAUGCCCUAAUAUACUAUCAGGGUCCGACCUAUAAACCCAGUUGGAAGGAUGUCAGUACCAUGUCAUGGGUACUAACACUGGCUGUGUGGAACCACUAAUCUGAAGUCCCAAAGGACGAUGGUGUCAUGCCUAACUAAUGGGGUACCCCUCAAAAUCUACGGUGGCGAUAUAGGUCUAGAACCUAGGGACUACUACAAGUGCCUCAUGCCUAACUGAUGGGGGGAUACACCAUCCCUACGCUCACUUGGUGCUAAGUGUUACUCCCAAAUGAAUGACACUGAUUAUUAGACUGAACUACGUUUAAUUGAUUAUGAAUUCUCAUAGUGCUCAUUAUGAUAAUAAUAACUGAGAAAUCAACUAUGCUGAUGGUUUAACUGAAAUCAUUCUGAGGAUACUGAAAGUAUGUAAACAGCUAAAUUUUGGGUAUUCAAACCCCCAAGACUCGAUAGCAAUAACAACAAGAUCAUACCAAAACUUUCAGGACUGACAUGUAGUUAAUAUUCAAAACUCAUUCUUUGAGGCAUUUCAUCAAACACUUUCAAUGCAUGGCUUAAACAUGAGAAUAGUUUUAAACAUGUGGUAGUAGCAUGAUUUUGAUACUAAAUCACCAAUUAAGGCUUAAAUCAGCGAACAACACCAUUCAAACGUCUAGGGUUUAAUAACAACAACAAUUUCUUGUAAAGAUGAUAUAAAAUUUGAAAUUCAUGGACAUAAUUCAUAAAAAUCACUACCAGAAAGUACUCCUAUUGCAAUGAACCUUUUGACAAUGCUUCCAAAAGGGUUGCUAUAGAGAAUCUAUUGCAACACUUUCAAGUGUUGCAAAAAAAAAAAAUUAUUUUAGUUGAACAAUUUUGUGUUAUAACCGUUGCUAUUGAUGGAUAAUCGUUGCAAUUGGGUUACUUUUAGCAACGAUUGCAUAAACCGUUACCAUAAAAUUAACUAUGACAACACUUAAUUGACAAAAAAAAAAUGCUAUUGCAUCGGUUGUAUUUUUUCCCUCCCCAAAUUUUCUCUAUAUCCACCAAAAAUUAAAAUAAUAUAUAAGUAUAUAUAGAAAAUUUUCCAUUACUGUUAAAUGUUUCCCAUUCUCAACCACACACCGCCAUACUCUCAACCACAUGCCACCACCGGUACGCUCCGAUGACCACACACGCCACGCCACCAGCUCCGACGACCACACACGGCACGCCACCAGUAGCUUCGACCAUACACCACCAGUAUCUCCGACCACACACCACCAGUAGCUCCGACCACACACCAUCAAUUUGAUUUUAGUUUUCAAUUUGCACUUUAAUUUUUGAGCUAAUUUACGAUUCUUCUUUAAUUUGGUGAUUUUAAGGUUAAUGUAUUCUUCUAGUUGGAGUGUAAGAUGCGGGAAGCACGAUUGAGAUGGUUCGGACACGUGAAGAGGAGGGGCAUGGAUGCCCCGGUCCGUAGGUGUGAGAGGCUAGCGUUGGAUGGUUUUAGACGGGGUAGAGGUAGACCGAAGAAGUACUGGGGUGAGGUGAUUAGGCGGGACAUGGAACAGUUACAGCUCACCGAGGACAUGACCCUAGAUAGGAAGGUCUGGAAGAUGCGAAUUACGGCAGAGGAUUAGGGCCAGUUCGGGUCGCUAGGGUAGGGAAUUAAUUGGGGGGGUGUAUUCCUGUUAUGAUCCCGUAUUCAGUGUUCCGUGUUCCGUGUUCCAUGUUUAUUACGAAUCUGUGUGCUUUCCUCUGCUUUAUAUUCCUGCAUUCCUGCUUUACUCUGUUUUAUAUUCCCUAUGGGUGCCGUAUUUAUGUUAUGUCAUCUGCUGCCGUGCUGUACUAUGUGUUUGUGUGAUAUCUCGUGACUUGAGCCGGGGGUCUUUUGGAAACAGCCUUUCUACUUCAUCAGAGGUAGAGGUAUGGACUGCGUACAUCUUACCCCCAGACCCCACUAAGUGGGAAUACACUGAGUUUGUUGUUGUUGUUGUUGUUGUAUUCUUCUAGUUGAUAAUUUUGACCUAAUUUUAUGAGUUUCUAUUUUGGGGUUUUUUAUUAGCGGAUGCUCCUUUAUGAUUUGAAAAUGAGUUGGAAAUCAGAAAUCCAAGUCAAGGAUCUUGAAAAAAAAGGAUCGUUGGUAUAUAUAGUUGUUUCGAUUGCCUCUUAUCAUGUAUUUACUGUUAGUUUUGAUAUUGAUGAUUGUAGAGUAACACCAUAUUGUUCUUUUUUGGUCCUAAUCUUUCUGUAGUAUUAUCUUUUUUUGUGAUGUUUAAUGUUUUGGUUCAUAUUUUCAAUAGCUUAGGUUUUAAAAUAAUUUCAUCUAAUGUUAUCUAUUGAAGAAAAAAGAUUAUUGGUAUAUAUAGUUGUGUCGACAUACUUAUAUCAUCGCCAUAAAGAGGAACUCUAUUUGAUUCAGUGGAGGCAUUAUUUCUUUCUCCCUUAUCUUGAUGGUGUAACUACUAUUAACUUAUAGCUGCUGCUGUCAGUCAUGCUGCUAAUUGCAUGUUUAAACUCUGUCCAUAUUUAUUUGUUAUUUCAGUGUAUCUUUUAGGUACUGGAAGUUGUCUCUUGUGGUAUAUCAUGAUAAGUGCACUCAUCCUGAAGCUCGCCAAGCAUUCAUCAAGCUGAACAAAGACUUUAAAGUUUGCAAGAUCCAGCUAAAGUGAGUAAUUAACUGAUACCAUCAUUUAUUUUCCUCACAAAUUUUAUUAUGUGAAGAGAAGCUUCUUUAAGGUCUGGCUUAAAACUCUGUGUUGAUUUUCUAGUAGCAAGGGUAAAUGCAGAUUUUUUUAAUUUAUUUAUUAAUUUUGUUUGUUUGUUUGCUAUACUGUUAGUUGUCUUGUGCCGGGGGUCUAUUGGAAAUGUCUCUCUACUUCAUCUGAGGUAGUGGUAUGGACUGUGUACACUUUACCCUCCCCAAACCCCACUUUGUGGGUAUACACAGGGUAUUGUUAUUGUUGUUGAAGGUGAAAGUCCAUUCACGUGAGUUCUGUCCACCUAUCAAUAAGGUUUGACAUGGUAAAUUAUGUGUUUUCCACUACAUAGUUCUGGUUGUUUCUUCUCCAUGUAUAUGGUAACCUUAUUGUGGAUCAGAUGAAGUGGUCAAACAGAUUAGUUGGGGCUGCUGAUUAAUAAUUUUUGUAUCAAAUAAUAUCUAGCCGAUGUUGUGAUGUUUAUUAGUAUAUAGGCAUUUAUUAUAGAAUAGUGUAUAUAGUACAAUAUGUGGAUGGCUAUUCCCCAAUUUAGAGCAGCACAUAUGUUAUAUUCUUAUUUAUUCUAGUUAUGGAUGUAGCAUUCUCCUUAUUGAUCGAGUAUUUAGCUAUCUUAUGCUACUUUAACAUUGAUCACUGUCCUAAAGAUUUGGUUAGAAGAUAUUUCUACUUUAAAGAUUCCAUUACACCUCUUCAUAUAAUUACAUGAUUAGUUUGGGAGAAAAAUGAACUGGUUCUUCCAGCUCACUGCAGAUUCCAUGUACACUUCUUCAAUUUGAUGUUGUAAUUAUGUGUAUGGUGAGACUAGCUGCAAAUUUGGAGUUGGAUAUGUGUAGUUAUGGUAAGGAGAGUUUGUAUCUAAAUUCAUCUGAUUUAAUGACCCUGUAAAGCAAUUCUUUAAACUCAAACAUCAGAUUUAUCAGGUGCGCAUAAGCUAGCCCGGAUACCAUGAUUAGCAAAGAACAAAAAAGGAUUCUUCUUUUUCAAAUAACAACCGGGUCAAUUUGAGAUUGCUUAUAUUGAGGAAGCUAAAAAUGUACUUAUCUCGUUGGGACAAUUUUCUUUUAAUUAUGUGUAAGGUGAUACUUGUUCAACCAAACUUUGUAUCGUGCUUCACAUUUAAGUUUGUAUGUUCUUCAGAUCGUUGGAAUUCUCGAUAUUAGUAGGGAAGCCUGGAUUCAUCGAGAGGACUGGAUUAGAAAUGGGAUUCACAUUGGCAGUGGUAGAAAAUACAAGGAUUCAUAUUAUCUUCAAGCAUAAGCAAUGUGCUAUUUGAAUUUAUAAGAGGUACAAAUCUAUGUUUUUCUAAUUUAUCCAUUGGAAUAUUUAUUUUUCAACUACUUUGACAGUUUAACAAAACUCUGUGCAGGUUUUAUACAAUGCUUUUAUUUUUCCUUCAGAUAGUGGGAAGGGAAAGGAGAGCCUCAGGAGAUUAAUCUAGAAAUGAUGAGGAAAGGAUAGGGCUAUGAUUAUUUUCAUUUUCAUCUUAUCAAUACAUGAUUCUUGUCCAGUUGUCCUUGUCUUUAGAUUUUUUGUUUUUGUUAUUGUUUUUGGGCUGGGCUGCUGGGGGUUGGAGUAUAUGCUUUCAUAUUGUUAUAAUUGUAGAAGAGAUUUUGAGAGAGAAUUGGGAAGUAAAAAAUUUGAGCCAGUUUUGGUCAUCAAUAUUUUGUGUUUUACACUUAUAUUCAGAAUUAUUCAAAAUAGAAGGGGCCUCUUGGCGUUACUGAUUAAGUUACUGCCAUGUGGCUAGAGGUUAUGAGUUCAAGCCACGGUGACAAUCUCUUACAGAAAUGCAAGGUAAGGUUGUGUACAAUAGACCUUUGUGGUUUGGACCUUCCCUGGACCUCAAGCAUAUCAAUGCAUAGUACAUUGGACUGCCCUUCUAUUCAUAAUUGUACGAGAUAAAAGAACCAUUCGAGGAGUAUUCAUACAUAAAUACAUAUAGGCACCACAAUCAAAUCUAUCUACAUUAUUAUUUCAAUCAAUAAGUAGGCAGUAAUUAUGUUCCUUAUGUACUUAGUGUUUCAUCUCCUCUUCUUCUUUUCUUUCUUCUGCUCAGUUGGGUGCUUUUAGGUGCUCUUAGAGGUGGUUUAGACCUUGCUUUUAGGAAUGAAUUGUGCAGUGAAACAUAUGAAGGGACAAACAUGUCGAGUACCCAUCACUGGGUCAUACAGUAACCUUUGAAAAAUAUGCAUGCUUUCUAUAGAUGUUGUGAUGUUAUUGCUGUUAACAUUUCUCUUUUAAUUCCUUUGUUGUUCAGCUUUCUACAGACUUACGAGAUUUGAGAAGGAGACUGGGCGUGCUAGCUUAUCUUGAAGACAAAGGUACCGAAAGCCUCCUCCAUCCCUCCGAACUCAUUUGGUUAGCGCUUUCAUCCAUAUUAUUCCAGAGUAUGUGGUAGCACUUGUGUUAAUAAUUAAACCUUUAAUGUGAACCUAUUUGAAGUCUCUGAGAAUGAUACAUUACACGCAUUGCAUUAAAGUUUUAUCUGUAACUUCUGUUUGACUGUCUCAUAGAACCAACGGCUAAAUUACUGCUGGAGAACAUGGUAUAUGUAAGUUUAAAUUUCUGUAAUUGGGUUCAUUACACUCAAACAUAGAGAGAUGUUGUUUAAAGUUUCUCAAAAGGGAGUGGUUGAUCUUGGCUGGCUUAAGUUAAUAAUUCAAAGUUGGGCUUUGCAUUAGCAUGAUGGCAUCUGUUAGAUCUUUGUUUUUGUUUUUGUUUGCCUUAAUGAUUCCAUCAUGCACUGCCAUCAUCUUAACAUAGUUAAACUGGUGAAGGUUGUAAUGAAGGGGUCAUGGGGUAAGAAUCUCCGAGUCAUUUUCAUAUUUUGAUAGUGAUGCCACUUCAGUCCAAGUAACUACAGAGGUCACUAUAGUAGAUGCUAUGUAAGAUUAACCUAAUUGCCCAUAUAAUCUCAGUUAUAAACAUUAUUUCUAGAUAGAGAUGGCUUUAUUUGAACAUUUGUUGGUGCUAUUGAAUUCAUUUACAAACUCUCAGCUACUAUAGUGUUAUUUUACUUUUGGCCAGCACAGUCUUCUCAGCUACUAUAGUGUUAUUUUACUUUUGGCUAGCACAGUCUUCUUUUAUUAUUUUUAGUACGAUCGUAUCAUUUCAUUUGAUAUAUUUUGGCAUGUUAAUGAACCUCUCCCUUACUUUAAAAUAGAUGAUGUUUGGAACCAGACUUGGCAAGAUAGAUCUUGAACCAAGUAAAAUACAAAUGAAUUUCACAUGGAACGUGUUAUUGUUAAGAGUGACCGAAAGAUAAUAGAGCAAAUAAUGAUCUUUCAUCCCGUCGCUGACUCACUUCUCCCCAUUGUUAUUGCAGUAGUUAUCUGAAAAUUAUUGCAAUAGAUAUCUGGGAUUUGACGAUGUUGAUUGGGAUUGGUUUUUGACUGGAAUGUUCUUAGGAAACUAGAAAAGAAUCCUUAAAAUGUACAUGACAAGCUAUCCAUUAGCACUAACUAGGUGAGUGACGUUCAUGCAUCUUCUCUUGAGUAAUUCAGUUAGUAAACAUCAGUAGAAUGCAAAAAUUGUUACCAGCGUAAUUUAAAGCAAGUGCAAGGUAGGUAACAUUCUUCUCUGCUGAAUUUUUAUUCCUUUGUGCCAACUCGAAUUGAAUACAUGGACUUAGCUGAAAAGGUGACAAAGUUUAUUCCUUUGCGCCAACUCGAAUUGAUUUCAGUGUAUAUUCUCAAUCCGAAACUGUUUUUGGGGUUGGUUAUAUGGAUCAUCCCAUUUGGACUCCAGUGCUCAAUAAUUUGUGUAUUUACGAUAACAUCAACAAUGUGUUUGGAUGGUUGUUACCUAUUUUAUGGUAUUGUGUUGUUAGUUUAGAUACAUUGUUUAUUUUGAUUUUUACUUAAAUUUUAUUACUAUAUAGUAUAGUUAAAAUUCUUUGUUGGGUAAUGACAGAAAGUCCCAUUUUAUGUAACGACCAAUUUGGUGUGGUUGUGUCAUUACCUAAUUUUUUUCGUAUUGUAUCUUUACUUAUUAUCUAAUAAUCCUCUUUAUCCUUUGCCAUACCUUUUUAUAGUAGCCCUACGCCAUCUCCUACUUUUCUUGUUGGUUUACCUUUCAAAUUGUUGAUGUGUAAGAUUACAUAACGACGGACAGUGAUACAAUCUAUCCAAAAGUUGUAUUCAUUAAAGAAAAUACAGUACGAUAUAAUAGAAUAGAAAUGUAAUGCAAUACAAUGCAUUGUGAAACAAUAUAUCAAAACCAUCCAAACAAAGUGUAAAGAGUUCUCUAGAAGUAGAAAUUCUCUAUAUGACAUCUCUGCUAAUAGAAUAUGACUUGUAAGCAUUGCAGUUUGCUGAAUAUUAGAAUGAUGAUAAUUUUAAGUUAUGAUGCUAAUGUUUAGCUUUAACAGUCUCUACAAGCUUUAAAGAAGACAUCUCAGGAAGAUCCAACUGCUUGUUUGCGAGCAGGUGCACUUAUGAUUGUGCUUUCGUAUCUUGAUUUCUUUUCCACUGGUGUUCAGGUAGAGAAGCUGAUAAAUUAUUAUUCCAUUAGUAGGGUGAGUAUCAUUCUGAUCUUUUUCCUUUCUUCCGUAGAGAGUAGCACUGGCAACUGCUACUAAUAUGUGCAAGAAGCUGCCUUUGGAUGUUGCUGACUUUGUGAUGGAAGCUGUUCCACUGUUGACUAAUCUCCUCCAGUAUCAUGAUGCACAGGUGAGAUCAUCAUCACGUGAUAACAAAAUCAGGGAUAAUAUGUCUUAUUUUUAGCAUGAUGAACUUAUUUUCAUCUGUUUUUACUCUUCAAUCUGGUUAAGUCUUCUAUCUUGGAUAUGUAAUCUAUUGCUGAAUGAUGUAGGGCAUACAUGAUACAUGUCAAUUUUGUGUAUGUAUUUGACUGGAAAAGGCCCAUGUUGUGUUAAUCUCAAGGUUUUGUUUCAUGGUUCAUUGAGUUCUUGUUGAAUUUAUAAGAAUCAUACCAGUGGAAGAAAUUUGAAUAUCUUGAUGCAGUAUUAGAUUAUAGCAGCAAAUCUGUACUGAAAGCUCUGGUGUAUGCAAUUCAAGAAGAAGUCACCUGGAGAGUCCCUAACUUGGGAAGACCUUGGCAAGAUCAAGUACACCUGGAGAGUGGCAAUGGAGACACUCAGAAUUUUCCCUCCGAUUUUCGGAGGCGUCAGGCAGACUGUAAAAGGCACCAAGUAUGAACGCUACCUCAUUCCGAAAGGAUGGAAAGUAAGAUCAACAACCCCAUUUUUAAAAUCUUCUAUUCUUCAACCUGUCAAUUUUGGUAGUACUCUGUUGUUUUCUGAUUGUCAGUAGUCCACAUUUAACCACUGCUUAAACAUGCUAAAACAAAUGCUUAAUGUCAUGGAGAGAACAAAUGCUUAAUAUCUUGAUAUCCAGUUCCACUUCCUCAUGAGUUUUCUUUCUUCAGGUUCUAUGUGAGAGACAUUUUUGUAGAAUCAACUAAUCUGUUAGUGGAUUUGGAGAGAUUGCCAAAUCCUUAGCAAAAGGCUUGGGUGAUCAUAGAAGUUAGAUACUUUAUAGGGCAAAUGUCACAAGUAUCAUUUUGGACAAUGGCAAAGCUAUGAGUCUUCUGUCGUAGGACGUGUUUGAAACUUUUGUUGAGAGUGAUUAUUCCAAUUAUAAGAUGCGAAAGCUGUAGUCUGAAGUUUGCUUUGGAAUGUUUUAGCUGACACUAUCUAGACAUACUAGGACUCGUGUUUCACUCAUUAAUAACACUGGUCAUAUCUUCUUUCUAUUGUUUGUCCAUCAAAAACACUUACAUAUGUGAACAUUAAUACGAGUGAUGCUAUAGUUGUAAUAGGUAGUCAAAAAGCAUUGCAACAGAAUAAGAAAAGCGUCGCAAUAGAUGCUAUUGCAACGGUUAGUAACUGUUGUAAUAUAUGAAAAUAGGCAUCCCAAUAAGUAAUGAAAUAGUUGUAAUAGGUACUCAAAAAGCGUUGCAACAGAAUAACAAAAGCGUUGGAAUAUGUGCUAUUGCAAUGGUUUAAUGUCGUUGCAAUAGACUUUAAUGCAAUGGUUGCUAACCGUUGUAAUAGAUGAAAAUAGGUAUCUCAAUAAGUUAAAAAAUAAUCGUCGCCAUAGCUUGACCUAUUGCAUCGAUUUCAGACAACUGUUGCAUAAACUGUUGCCAUAGUUCUAUUGCAACGCCCAUAUAUAGGAUGCUUGCUGAAGUGUUAAGGCAGAACUAUGGCAACGGUUUUGUUGUCUAUUACAACGGUUUUGCAACCGUCACCAUAGAGGUAACUUUGAGUAGUGUAAUAUGUAAAGGAUCAUACUUUUAAACUUGAAAUUGGGUUUUUGGACUGCAUGGGUGAAAGAGGCCCACGGAUGAACAUCUAACAUACCUUAGAACUUUAAAUCUUGAAAGAGAAUUGACUUUUCUAGAACGUUCUUGGAUUGGGAAUCUUAAAUUCUUAAAAUUCUUGAAGAAGGGCUUGAAUCUUGUUCUUGGGGAAUGAUCUUGAAAGGAAACCCUAAUCUUGAUGUUGAGAGUGAAUGAGGAGUUUUUGGCAUCUAAAACUGAUAAGUGAUGGCUAUAACGCAUAAUGAUGCUUUAAAUCAUGGGAGGGAUAGGGUUUGAGGUGAGGAAAAGACCAACAUACCCUUCCGAAGUUAAAUAAGAAUUGCUGAAAUUUUUAGUUGAUGACUUGAGUUGAUAACUUAUCAACUAGUUGAUAACUUAUCAUCUUAAGUCGUCAAAUCAUUGUUGGAUUUGGGCCCUUGCUGGUCAUAGGUAACUUGGGUUAAUAAGUUGUCACUUAGGAGAUGGCUUAUCACCUCGAGUCGUCAUUUUGUGGCUGAAAUUAUCACAUACUGAUUAUGGGUGAGGACUUGGGCUGAUAAGUCGUCACUUGGUUGAUGGCGUAUCAACUCAGGUAGUCACUUGGAAGCUGAAGUUGAUGGUUUUCUGGUUGUGCUGACGACUUGGACUGAUAAGUCGUCACUUAGCUGAUGUCUUAUCAACUCAGGUCGUCACUCUGUUGACAGACGGAGAGGCUAAAGUAAAAUGAGUAUAACUUUCCACUCCGGUAUCGGAUUAAUGUGAAAUCAAAUGCUUUGGAAAGAAUAUUCAAAGAUAUUUCUUUUGGUAUAUAGUAGGCCACGUAACUCAUUAUGUACAAGGAGUAAUGGUUGUUGAAAUUUGACCCAAGCUGAAAUGUCCAUUAAAACUUAACCAACGGAAGCGUUCUUAACUCGUCUUUGAGUUAGGAGAUUUUUAUGAUCCCGAUUGAUAUAAAAGGAAAUUUUCACACUAUAUAAUCGAUCAUCACACAUAAAUAGACAUAGAAUUAUUGGGUUCAGGUCUGUAUAAUUAGGAACAACGGUUUGAAUCCUAGCCCAAAAACGUGGGGUGUUAUCAAACUUACUCAUAAACUACCAAAGUACUUUAAUUUAUUUUGCAUGAGCCUGAAGCAUGGUUCUAAUGUUGAUUUUGAUUUUCGGGGUAUUACACUAAAGUCAUUAUUUUGUAUCAAUUUUGAGCAAAUUUACAAUGAAAAAAAUUAUGGGAAGCUAAUUGAAUUCAGAUUUUUGAAUAUUUUAUACAAAAUUUGUGGAAUGAGAAAGGUAAAUUGGAGUAUCAAAAAAGGUAAAUGAAUGGAGGUUUAAGAGUUUGAAUGGAAAGAAAAUUGUGAAUGAAAAGGAAAGAAAGAAGAGAAACGACAUGCUCGAUGUCAGCCAUCUUAAAGAAGAUUUGAUGGUGAAGUUCUUUGUGUGCAAUUCUUUCUAGAAAGACCCAAAAAGACAAAUUUUCAAAAUCACAGUAAACUAAACCUUUUUUGCACCAAUUUUUUGGGUACAGUAUAGUAAAAAUGAGCAUUUGAUAGGUGAAUUUUGAAGUCGCGGUGAGAAAUUGGAAGAAUUUUGCGGUAGAGAGAAUGAGAGAAAAGGGGGAAGAAGAAGAUGAUGAAAUAGUACAUGACUUAUACUGAGAGUGACUAUUUACCGAGUAUUUAAUUGUGAGUGCUAUGUUUAUGAUAUUAUUUUAGUUUUAGGUGUCAUUUUUGUUCUUUCCCCUUUUCGUUUUUUCCAGAAGCAGUAGCUAAGCUGUUUAACUAAAGUUGGAGUCUGAAACCUAAAGGUCAAGUUUUUUAAUUAAAAAUUUUAAAGGGGCAUGUCAAAAUGGAAAAAUAUUAAAAUGGUCCAUUAAAAAUUAAUGCUAUUUGAUUACAUGCUAAAGUGUAAGGUAAAAUCUCGAUUUUACUUUACAAAGUAAAUAGAGCCACUUAUCUUAUCCUUUGACUGAAAAAGUUGGUUGAGUUGGGAAUUUAAUGACAUUGAUGUACUCCCACUGUCCAUCUUAUUUUAUUCACUUUUCUAUUUUGAAUGUCGAACAAUACUUGUCCAAUUUAUGAAAUCAAUGGAUAAUUUAUUCAUUUUUACCUAUUUUAUCCUUGGUAUUAAAUACAAUAAAUCACUUAUUGCAUUUCAAAGAAAAAAAUUUAUUAAAUUCGAAUGGUGAUCUAGUAAAAUUAUUCAUCUAUUUAAUGUUUCUGAAUGCAUAUGUCAAGUCAAAAGUGAACAAGUAUUUAUGAAAUCAAUGCAUAAUUUAUUCAUUUUUACCUAUUCUACCCUUGGUAUUAAAUACAAUACAUCACUCAUUACAUUUUUCAAAACAAAAAAAUUAUUGUAUUCAAAUGGUGAUACAGUAAAAUCACGCAUCUAUUUAUUAUUUCUUA